UUUAUCAAAAACAUCGCCUCUUGCAAACUGACGAAUAAGAGGUCCCGCCUGCCCGGUGACUAUUAGUUUAACGGCCGCGGUAUUUUGACCGUGCAAAGGUAGCGCAAUCACUUGUCUUUUAAAUGGAGACCUGUAUGAAUGGCAUAACGAGGGCUUGACUGUCUCCUUUUUCCAGUCAAUGAAAUUGAUUUCCCCGUGCAGAAGCGGGGAUGACUACAUAAGACGAGAAGACCCUAUGGAGCUUUAGACACUAAGACAGACCACACUCAGAACGCCCAAACAAGGAAUAAAAACCAAGUGGCCCCUGUUCCUAAUGUCUUUGGUUGGGGCGACCCUGGGGAAACAAAGAACCCCCAUGUGGAACGGAAAUACUCUUUCUUAAUCCAAGAGCUACCCCUCUAAGAAACAAAACUUUUGACCAACUUAGAUCCGGCAGCGCCGAUCAACGGACCAAGUUACCCUAGGGAUAACAGCGCAAUCCCCUUUUAGAGCCCAUAUCGACAAGGGGGUUUACGACCUCGAUGUUGGAUCAGGACAUCCUACUGGUGCAGCCGCUAUUAAGGGUUCGUUUGUUCAACGAUUAAAGUCCUACGUGAUCUGAGUUCA
RNAcentral lists this ribosomal RNA (606 nucleotides) under Cheilio inermis. RNAcentral describes it as "partial 16S ribosomal RNA". It matches the Rfam family "Bacterial large subunit ribosomal RNA", at positions 1803 to 2613 of the family's 2925-position model. The record is from RNAcentral. Lineage: Eukaryota; Metazoa; Chordata; Actinopteri; Labriformes; Labridae.